RNAcentral lists this ribosomal RNA (301 nucleotides) under uncultured bacterium. RNAcentral describes it as "partial 16S ribosomal RNA". It matches the Rfam family "Bacterial small subunit ribosomal RNA", at positions 509 to 807 of the family's 1533-position model. The record is from RNAcentral.
CAGUCGCCGCGGGAAAACGUAGGUGGCAAGCGUUAUCCGGAAUUACUGGGCGUAAAGCGCGCGUAGGCGGUUACUCAAGUCAGAGGUGAAAGCCCGGGGCUCAACCCCGGAACUGCCUUUGAAACUAGGUGGCUAGAAUCUUGGAGAGGUCAGUGGAAUUCCGAGUGUAGAGGUGAAAUUCGUAGAUAUUCGGAAGAACACCAGUGGCGAAGGCGACUGACUGGACAAGUAUUGACGCUGAGGUGCGAAAGCGUGGGGAGCAAACAGGAUUAGAUACCCCCGUAGUCCCUGUCUCUUAUAC